AUGCAGUUGACGAGUCCUAAACAGGACGAAACACACAGUCUUGGAU
Non-coding RNA from Schistosoma curassoni, 46 nucleotides. NCBI's taxonomy places the organism in Eukaryota, Metazoa, Platyhelminthes, Trematoda, Strigeidida, Schistosomatidae. The record is from Rfam.